UUGGAGGGCAAGUCUGGUGCCAGCAGCCGCGGUAAUUCCAGCUCCAAUAGCGUACAUUAAAGUUGUUGCAGUUAAAAAGCUCGUAGUUGAAUUUCGGGGUCAGUAGGCUGGUCGUGCCUCAGGUACGUACUGGUCUUACUGAUUCCUCCUUCCUGACGAACCGUAAUGCCAUUAAUUUGGUGUUGCGGGGAAUCUGGACUGUUACUUUGAAAAAAUUAGAGUGUUUAAAGCAGGCUAACGCUUGAAUACAUUAGCAUGGAAUAAUGAAAUAGGACGAUCGACCCUAUUUUGUUGGUUUCUAGGAUUGACGUAAUGAUUAAUAGGGAUAGUUGGGGGCAUUAGUAUUCAAUUGUCAGAGGUGAAAUUCUUGGAUUUAUUGAAGACUAACUACUGCGAAAGCAUUUGCCAAGGAUGUUUUCAUUAAUCAAGAACGAAAGUUAGGGGAUCGAAGACGAUCAGNUACCGUCGUAGUCUUAACCAUAAACUAUGCCGACUAGGGAUCGGAUGAUGUUAAUUUUUUAAUGACUCAUUCGGCGCCUUACGGGAAA
Molecule: ribosomal RNA, 548 nt
Filed under: uncultured Glomeromycotina
Lineage: Eukaryota; Fungi; Glomeromycota
Description: SSU rRNA
Rfam family: Eukaryotic small subunit ribosomal RNA
Source: RNAcentral